RNAcentral lists this long non-coding RNA (10780 nucleotides) under Xyrichtys novacula (pearly razorfish). The record is from RNAcentral. Lineage: Eukaryota; Metazoa; Chordata; Actinopteri; Labriformes; Labridae.
AUCUUGACUUUGUCUGUGGCUUUUGAAUAACUCUACACUAUUUGAAAAAUAAAUAUUUAUCUUCAUGCUGUCUCUAUGAUUUUACCAUCAGGUUUAACAAAGUCAGUGAUGUUCGUGACUAAUGUCCAAGCAAACUAAGUUUACUUGCAUAUCAAGGAUACUCAGCUAGUGUUUAAUGUGUACUGUUUCCCAAAUGUUAAGUUUAAAAAAAAAUCUGAGUCUAAUUUAACAAUUGUCUCUGCUGUAUUAGCAUAGCAUACAGAUGGCUUGGGGCCAUUAUAUUUAACAUGAUUUUCUACACCUAAUAUCAUGCCAGAAUGUAGUAAUUUAAGGUCAGUGUCAAAAGAAUUUCCCGGUAGAGUAGAAACAUUUGCACUUUUUUACAAAAUGGGAAUCGUCGAAGACUGUUAGUGUGCCAGAGGUCCAUUUAACUUCCUUUAUUUGCAGCUCUUCAUCAGGCUGAACAAGCAGUGCAGCCAAAGUGCAUCACUGUCUUCUAAUUUGUAUUAAAUAAUGUACUAGCAACUUGUUUGCAAGUGCACAAGUGGAUGAGUAAACGCAUGGAUGGAUGAGGAACAGCCUGAAGCACUCACACAAAAGAUAUGAGCACUGCUUAUACUAAUGCAUACAUGAAUACUCCUGGCAUUGACAGCUGUAUCCAUGAAUUUUAACUUUUCUGACUUAUGGUUAUUGCAUUUAGAAAUUAUGCUGCAGAGUUUGGCCCUGGGCAGUGGGUACCUCCAUGGGUUUCUGAAAACAUUCCCCACUCUGCUGCUCAACACUGUUAGCCUGUGUUGCUCUCUGGAGGCUCUGGGCUGAUCAGUAAACAGACUGACCUGAUUCUGAUGCCCUGCCUCUAGUUAUUCAGUCCACAAUCGUUGAGCAUAGAGCUUGUUUCAUGAACACACAGCCACUACAUUGUCUUGGUAUUUAGCUGGCCACUCCCCCUCCAUUUUUCUUCCAUUCGACAAACCGCCACAGUAAAGAUAAAUGUUCCUUUGACCAAGAGACUACAAGUUGGUGUAUAUUAAGCAAGCAGAGAUUACUACCACUGCAGUUUAAUUCAAUGGAGCCAUUUGGCUUUCUCUAAGAACAGUGAGCCUGGCUUUUUACAAAUGAACCCAUUUAUAGAUAACCACGAGCUUCCAUGGUCGUAUUAAGACAAAAAGGAAAUACUUUUUUGACAUGUUGCUAUAAGUCUAUCAAUGAUAUCAGUUGAAUUUGGUGGAGAGGAAAGACAGAAAGAGAGGAAAAACUGAAAUGGGAAACAAAAAACAAACUGGAGUUCAUUGGUUGACAAGUUUAACUAAUACCUGUUUAUCAGUACCUGCAAGUAAUAAGAGUUUAAUCAAAGCCCACCAAGACCAAUGUCAGCAUCAAAAUAUUAUAGUCCAUAAAAAAGUAUUAAAUCAAAGAAAUGUAAUUUUGCCAUCAUUUUGAAAUAGCAUUGUACAUAAGAUAGAUAAAGAGACUUUCCUAGGAUUGCAAAUGAUCCACAAUUGUCUGAUCUAAAUAAGACAGUGAUAAGAAUGUAAAUAAAUAAACCCAAAUGUUUGGUAAAACAAUUACUAAUACCAAUAGAUGAAAGAGGAAGAUACAAUAUCAAUCAUAAAAUAUAAUAACAUAACAUAAUAUGAAAUGGUAAACCAAUUUAGUGUGGUAAAGCUGUAUGAUGGGAUAUGAUACGUACAGCUUAAUAUGAUACAACAUACAUAAAUACAUAAAUAGACUGGAAUAUAUUCAUAUGAACUUGCUCAGACUUGUCAUUAGAAUAUUUGGCUGCUCAGAGGAAUAAAUGAAUGAAUGAAUCCUGUGUUUCAAGCUUGUAUCUGUUCUUGGAUACAAAAACACAGAGAAAUCAGUGAUAAGACAAACUGAAGGCCUUCACUUUCUAUCAUCCCCAUUAAAUGAAAGUUACUAACAUAAUAUAAUAUAAUAUAAUUUUAAUAUAAUAUAAUAUGAUAUAAUAUAGUAUAAUGUAGUAUAAUAUAAGAUAAUACAUGUUGUAACACUACUUAAAUCAUUACCCUGUACUUGUAUUUAAUACUGUAUACUGUUCACAUGCAAGGAAACAAGCACCAGUCCUACCCCAAAACCUAAAGUGCAAUCACAUUCAAUAAGAUUAAUGAUCAAGGGUUAUCAACUUCAUCUAUCUCUUAUUGACUUGGUUAAUGUGCACACAGGGAGAUAUACCAUAUCUCUAUUACCCUGCCAUUCUAAUGGGCCCAGUCCCAUGAGCAGUCAGUGCUCAGUCUCUAUUGUCUCUCCUGAAAAUUAGUGGGAGAGGGAAUUAAGGAACAAGGUUAAUUAAGAAAGAGCUUAAAUCACUGCUGCUAAUCACUGCAACUUACACAGCGAGAGCGAUAUCUACUGUCAUUCUUUUUUUUUUGUUGAGAGCGAGGAGUAGAGAUGAAGCUCCACAGAAAAGUGAUGGAAACAAAAGCUGAGAGGCUCAUUAAACUGCUGACAGCACCUUAAUAUUCUGUUUCUGUAACUGGCAGUACAGGAGUGAAGUGAGAGAGACUGUUUCUCUUCAAAGUUACUCUUCAUAGUUUAAUUAGAGGUCACAAAGUGUGAUGAUUAUGCAUUGGCACUGUUGUGUAAAGACUGACAACUAUGUGAGUACAAGUAGGCAGAUCUGCUAUCAGGAGAUGUGUGAUGAAUUUAGCAAUUACAGAACUUCAUAACAUGCAAUUAUUUCACUCCUGUUCAUAAAGAACUUGUGUAAGCUAAUUUUUCUUUCUCUUUCCAAACUCCUUGACCUCUUGUUUGAGUCAGAAAUAAUGUGGAUUUCAUGUGACAUGUUUACAGUGAGGCAAAAUGACCUUUGGAGUUACAACGAAAGCAAGUCACAUGAGAUUUAAAACUAAGCAUCUCCUCUGGUCCAAGCAGUAAAAUGCUGUUCAGAAAAAUUGGCCCUUAGUCUACAGACUUUGACACAUUUAUUGCUUUAAUUGAAAGCUGCUUGUGUGACUCUUCAUAUUGUGUGUUUGUAUUUCACUGGAUGUGCACUUGUGCAGAAAAAUACCUGACUUCCCCUAGCUGAAGUAAAUUACAGCUUUCCUCAUCUGGAUCUUGUUGUUGCCAGUUUUUUUUAACAAGAAAAGCUAUCAUGCUGCCGGUAUUUGCAGGUGGGAUACGAGGAAUGUUUGGGAACCAAAAAAACAAAACUUGCAGCUUCACUCUCCCCCUCUCUCCUUUCUCAAUGCCGGUAGGGUCGGCCUGUACCAGCUGCUUGAGAAACCCCCAGUGUGGGAAAGUCUCUCCUCGGCUAAUGGAAGACAAACACCUCGGAGAGCGGUGGAGAUAGCAUGAAAACGAUUAAAGCGUGACCCAGAUUCUGUUGUGUCUCUGGCCUUUCACUGCAGUUGACAAAUACAGGAGGGGACCUUGCUAAUGAAAACACCACAGAAAACACUGGAUGCUAAUGAAGACAAACAGCCUCAUCUCAAGGUGCAGCUGGCACCGGCUUUGACAUGAUGCUCAUCAAUGAGACUGUUACAAAAACUGACCUGUGAUGAUUUUACCAAGAGAAGACUGCGAUAACACAAAGUAAAAAGCGUAUUUGAAAUCAUGUCAAACACUCUCUCUUUGAAGAGCCUCACAGAUGCCUUUUUGUAUUAUGAAUGUGAUGGGAGGGCAGCACUUUGAAACAUUAAGCUAUCAUGAACUUUUCUUGACAUUUCGAUGGCUGGCAUUUGCUUUCAACCGAAAGGCUUUAAAUUAUUUUCUUCUUUCACUGCAAACGAUGCAAUUUCUCUAAAAGCAUGAAUGACAUUUCAGUGUAUUCAUUAGUGUCAAGUCUUAAAAUGACAUUCUUAGAAAUAAAUCAAGCUAAUUCAUAGUCAGGCCCAGAACCAUAUUUUAUUUUGUGACAUAACCUGUUUGUUACAUCGGCUACAUCUGAUACUAUUUAUGUCUUCAGCAAUCACAGCUUAGUGCUUGCAGAGCUUUCUCCUUCAUGCUUUUUUGUCUCUGUCAAUAUCUAUUUGUUCAAGAGAAACACUGCAAAAAAGACAUCUUUUUUUCCUCUUAACUCCUUGCUUUAAUCUCUAAGAUAUGGCUCCAACUGAGCUCUCAGCAGUUGAGCACUCCCAGUUGACCUCUGCCUAUGUUCUAAUAGGCUAAUAAGGCAGUGUUUGUUGUGUUUUUUUACCCCCUUGUGUGGCUCACUUUUUCACAGUUGUGAAAGGAGAAACAGAAUCAAAUGAGGAAAAAGAAAGCAGAAGCUGCUUGAUGUUUGCCAGUGUUGCGCAGUGCAUGAUGGGACUCUGGGGAGGGAUGUUCGCAUCCCAGCAGGGGAAGUCAAUCCAUGCAUUUAGCUGCAAACUUGCCCCCGAACUCUGCAGAGUUAGGAUUAGUGCAUUAAUAUCAACAGUAUCUGCUGUGUGGACAGUUGAGCCUUGACCAAGCUGAAGGAGUGUAAAUGUCACAUGUGGUAUCAUACUCUGAUAAUGUACCCUCAUUCUCCUAUCUUCAUCCCAAUUCAACUCCACUCUUCUCCCUCUGGGGUAUGUCUUUCUUUUGAAUACUCAUCUGUUUAAAGAUGUCAGCCCCUCCCCUUUGAAUCACAUCUUUGAUUUUUCAUGCUCUCAUUUUUUAGCCCUUUUUAUUGGUCAAAAAUCAUCAUAAGAUCUAGAUAUUUGCAAAGAAAAACAUCUUUUUCCUAAUUGCUUGUAAUGUAGUGUCUGUAAAGACAAAGCCAGUUUCCCUCUCUAAUUUAAGGACUGUGUUAUCUUAUGCAGAGUAUGUCGAUGCAGAUUGGAUCCAUUCCAUAUGUGCACAUGGCAGUACACUCAAAGGAAUCUCAGUCACAAGGGAUUCAUUUAGCAAGUAUCUCUGCAGCCCAGUGAAGAAUCCAGGAGACCAUUCCACUGUGUUUCCAGCAACCCCUCAUGCCAUACGUGCCUGGAAUAAACAAUAGUGUAAUACCCCUAGCGACCAUUAGGGGGCACUGAUAUAAUACAAGACCCUGCCAAUCUGUUAUGCCUGGCUGGCCCACAGAGAUGUUUGCAGUAAUUUAGUUCCACUGCCAAUAUAUAAAUAGGAAUUCUGCUGUUAGCACAAAAGAGCGGGGGGAAAAAACAUACCACCGAAUGAAUGUGAAUUGCUCCCCUGCUCCCAUUUCAACAUCAAAGUAAUCAAGGAAAACAAGCUUUUUUAAUCGAAAGUAUGCAAUUAGAAUAAAGCAGAACUGUCCUGGCUGUGCACACUGCCAGGAUGAAGAGAUUAAAUGGGUAAAGAGAGGAAUGGGGGAAGCACAAUCAGAGAAGCAGCAGCAUCUAUCGGACUGCAGUCACAGAAGAUAAUGUAACACCUUUCAUUUCAGUCCUGGACAGUUAUUCCAAAGACUGAUUUGAGUCUGGAAGAUUCAAGAGUGGAUGAAACACCAAUCAUGUGAGACUCUGAUGUGGCCUACUUUACACAAAAGUGGAGUGAACACUUCCUUUUAAACUCACAACGCAGAUUUUACAUAUCCGUAUUUUACUGCAUAGUCCUACCCUUAGAUGAAUUACACUGAAUGAAAAUAAGGCUGCAUGUUACAAGGAAGUGUCAAAGAGCAUAGUAAAUAGUCUGUUACAAUACUCAUUUGUUGCUGGAGCAUUACACACACACAUACACACACAUAAGAUACCACUAUCCAUAGGCAUACCCCAUGCUGUCCUAUCCUAUGCAGUGUCAAAACAAUGAUAAACAUUUGGCUGCUAUAGGAGUGCUCUGGAAACCAGCCAAGCUGAAUGGGCUGUUUUGUUUCACUGAACAAUAGCUCUGCUUAAAGUACUUAACAGCUGUGCUAUGCUCUGGGUUCCCCGCAGACUCACAACAGUACAAGUGAGUAGGAAGUGUUGCUUUGUGCGGUUAAUUUCUUCAUCAUUUCUUCUUCAUUAUUUGAUUACUCUCAAAAUGUAGUAUUAAACUCAAUGAAUGAAGGGGGACAACAACUGUAUUAUUUGAGUGUAUAACAUUUAAAUUAACUACUGAUAUUUUUAUAGAAAAAGUCAGACUAUUCCAUAUAUCAUAUCCUCACUCGGCAAAUAUAAAUGUAAAAAUACACAAGUUAAAAAAACUGCAAUAUAUUAUCACGUGUGUGACUUUUCUGUAACUGUAAUUGUCUGAACUAUCCUCGCUUGACAAUCUUCUUCAUCGUAGUGAAAAAUGCAAUCAGCAGAAGCCAUCAUGUACUUAGAAGACAAACAGCCUCUGAUAGCAUCACAGCCUGGAAAGAUGAACACAUAGACUUCAGGUGGACCAGUCACUCAGGCAUCACUGUGUACAGGUCAACUUCACUCUCCACAGGAGUGGACCUAACAGCUGUCAUUUUAGAUCGAUCUCUCCCUGAAGCCCAGUGUAAUAAACACCAGAGAGAGUAUCUGCUUUAGUGAUGUGUGAGUGUAAUGAAGCUCUGUCACAUGACUGACAAGUAAUGUUCCUGCCUCUUCUUUUCUUCUGAUUCACAUGAUCCCAGUGGAGACCUAGUCUAUCUUCUGGCCAUUAUUUUUGAAUUUAUCUUUACAAAGUCAAAUAUGUGGAGCUUCAAAGGAAACUUCAACUCUCCAGAAACAAGCAUUUCCUCAAUUCGUUUUAAGGUUUUCUUUAUGUCAGGUGUUUGUUUUGUUGUAUUUUUCCUUUUUGUUAAGUUUUCUGUUUUCAUCACAGUGGGCAAUUUUUUGUUACCCAGAGCCUACUGUCAAUCACCUGACACCCUUGGGAGGAAAUAGAAGACUCAGCCUGGAAACAAUACCUCAAAAAAUAACUAAUAAUACUUCAACAUGUCACCUCGCUCACUCGUCACAUCCACGCCUUCGUAUUUAGAUUGUUUUCUGCAAAGCUAAGCUUCACUUAAUUUACAGCUGCAGUUUCAGACAGCAAAGUUUGUCUUUUAGAGUCACUCAAAAUGAGAAAAUGUGACAUGCAUCGUAAGAGUGGAACCAGAGGGUUGAAAAAGCCAGCAUGAUAUAGGCCAAAACUCAAGAUGACACUGCUGUUUUCUUUGCACAAAUUCAGAAUUUGAAACUGUAAUGUUCAAAACCUUUACUUGCAAAUUUGGUAAAAUACCUUGUGAGUCCACUCAUACUUGAGUUUUCUCAAUACUUCUACACACACAUCAAUGUUAUCCAUUUAUUCACUGUAUCAGCCAUCUUUUAUUUUGACCUGUUAGUACUUUUCCUGUUGUUGGGGUUCAUCUUCACCAGGGGUGUCAAACGUAUGGCCCGCGGUCAGCAAUAUGAACAAAUCAUAAAAUUCAUGAAUUACAUUUUCUUUUAAAUCUGCAGUACCUAUAUUGUCCGCUAGGGGCGCAGUGUUUAGUCAGAGCAGACAACAUGAUGCAACACUGCAGGGGAUCUAACAGCAGCUGGCAACAAUGUAGCUUCAGGGUCUGUAAGUAACGUUUGGUCCUGUCGUUUUACCCGCUUUUCUGUUAGCCCUGACACCCUUAUCAGCAAAAUUUCUUUGUCGAAAAAGAGAAAAGUGGACAUGGAGUGUUGUACUUUCCAGAAAAAUGGAUCUCUUCCUAUAUUUUCACGGAGGUGAAUGGGGAAACCGGUGUGCCUGGUGUGCAAGCAGCAAGUUUCGGUGCUUAAGGAAUAUAAUGCAAAUGCAAUCAAAGUUCUUGUGUAUCUUGUACACUCACCGGCCACUUUAUUAGGUACACCAUGCUAGUAACGGGUUGGACCCCCUUUUGCCUUCAGAACUGCCUCAAUUCUUCGUGGCAUAGAUUCAACAAGGUGCUGGAAGCAUUCCUCAGAGAGCUUGGUCCAUAUUGACAUGAUGGCAUCACACAGUUGCCGCAGAUUUGUCGGCUGCACAUCCAUGAUGCGAAUCUCCCGUUCCACCACAUCCCAAAGAUGCUCUAUUGGAUUGAGAUCUGGUGACUGUGGAGGCCAUUUGAGUAAAGUGAACUCAUUGUCAUGUUCAAGAAACCAGUCUGAGAUGAUUCCAGCUUUAUGACAUGGCGCAUUAUCCUGCUGAAAGUAGCCAUCAGAAGUUGGGUACAUUGUGGUCAUAAAGGGAUGGACAUGGUCAGCAACAAUACUCAGGUAGGCUGUGGCGUUGCAACGAUGCUCAAUUGGUAUCAAGGGGCCCAAAGAGUGCCAAGAAAAUAUUCCCCACACCAUGACACCACCACCACCAGCCUGAACCGUUGAUACAAGGCAGGAUGGAUCCAUGCUUUCAUGUUGUUGACGCCAAAUUCUGACCCUACCAUCCGAAUGUCGCAGCAGAAAUCGAGACUCAUCAGACCAGGCAACGUUUUUCCAAUCUUCUAUUGUCCAAUUUCGAUGAGCUUGUGCAAAUUGUAGCCUCAGUUUCCUGUUCUUAGCUGAAAGGAGGGGCACCCGGCGUGGUCUUCUGCUGCUGUAGCCCAUCUGCCUCAAAGUUCGACGUACUGUGCGUUCAGAGAUGCUCUUCUGCCUACCUUGGUUGUAACGGGUGGUUAUUUGAGUCACUGUUGCCUUUCUAUCAGCUCGAACCAGUCUGGCCAUUCUCCUCUGACCUCUGGCAUCAACAAGGCAUUUCCGCCCACAGAACUGCCGCUCACUGGAUAUUUUUUCUUUUUCGGACCAUUCUCUGUAAACCCUAGAGAUGGUUGUGCGUGAAAAUCCCAGUAGAUCAGCAGUUUCUGAAAUACUCAGACCAGCCCUUCUGGCACCAACAACCAUGCCACGUUCAAAGUCACUCAAAUCACCUUUCUUCCCCAUACUGAUGCUCGGUUUGAACUGCAGGAGAUUGUCUUGACCAUGUCUACAUGCCUAAAUGCACUAAGUUGCCGCCAUGUGAUUGGCUGAUUGGAAAUUAAGUGUUAACGAGCAGUUGGACAGGUGUACCUAAUAAAGUGGCCGGUGAGUGUAUGUGCACUGCAGACGCGGUAGUUCUUCUGCCUUAGCGUCUCAGUCUGAUUGCAUUUCCAAGAAGUAAUAAUAAUAAUACAAUUAAUUUUCCGCUGCGCUCGGUGAUCGACUUGUCAGGGCUCCUCCACAAACAAGCGGCUGCUGGAGGAGAGUGGGUGAGUUGUGUUCGGUCUUUUUGCUAAAGAAACCAGGCGUAGCUUUAAGAUGUUUGACGGCUAGCACUAUGGCUGGGACUGUUGAUGAAGUUAAGUGCUGUUCUGAGCAUUAUUUGUGGCUACGAGUGGCUUUUUUGGUUGCGGUUUGCACAUGGAGAUGUAGACUGCUGUGUUUUGCUAUAUGCGGUCAUUACUCAAGUUGGUAUAACUAGAGAAGCAAGCAGUCAGCAACAUUAAUCUCUCUAGGGAGUGUCUAACUCGGUGUUAUGUUGUGUUUGACCAUAAUUUAAAUUUACGCUGGAAUAUCCCUUAAAGUUAAAGGCAUCCUCUUGAAUUACCAUGAUUAAUUUGAAGGCUGAAAAACCUUAAUAAUAUGCUCCUGUUGUAAGCGUUAAACCCCCAAGAUGAGCUGGUACCUGGUUCACAUCCUUAUAUGGGGCCUUCCCAUGCCAAGCAAAUAUUAUCUUUGGAAACCAUAACUACACAGGGUCCAUGCUUUGAAUCAUCAUAACAUCAAGUUUAGAUAAACUCGUAAAAUGAGGUCUGCAAAGCAGCACCUCAGAGCUGGCCUUUAAGUAUGAAGAGGUCCUGGGUAUAAAUCCCAGCAAAGGUCCACUCAUGUGGUGGUAUGAUAAUUACUGGCUGCUUUGGCUCAACCCCUCUUCUUAAGGAACUUUCACAAAGGGGAUAGAAUAAAUAAAAACCGAUGAACCACUUGGCUGUUCGUGUUCAGACAUGUAGCUUACUCUGAAAACUGGAAAAUUCUCAGGAGUUUUGUGAAUAUAUGAGUACAGGUCAAGAGUUAUGCGGCAAUGCAUGUAAAGGUUCACCACAGAUGACGCACACAGACUUGAAAUACUCCUGCACAUAAUUAAGGUAUUAUUCCUGAUGUGAACCGUGUCAGCAAAAGCUAAAUGGUUGGGUUCAUGUUUUUUGUUCAUCACUGUUAGGGACCAAGCAGGAGGGCUUAAAAAAGAGAUUUUUUUUUCUGGGUUUUUAUUUGACCCAAAAGAAUAAAAAGGUGCAAACCAAAUUUGUAAAUACUAAGCCUAUUAAAAAGUCUACAAAAUGAACAGUGCAACAGGGGGAAUAAAGCAAAAGUAACUGAACUCAACCCCCUAUGACACCAGAGCAGUGCUAUCUUCUGAUGUGUUGGCUCCAGCAUAAUGGUGUGACUGGCCCCAACUUCUGCUCAAACCAGAAAAUGCCAUACCUGGACAGCUUUGUAAGUCAACCACAAAGAAAUGAUGACUUUAAUAACAAAUAUGUGUUCACUACAUAAAAAAAAAAAAGUUGUAUUUCAUUUGAUACUAGUGUUGGGUGAUAUGACGGUAAAUACCGUGUGACGGUAUAAAAGUGUCUACUGGUUGUGCAGAGUUUGUUCGCUCCGUUUGAUUGGUCAGGUUUGGGUGCGCUCCCUAUAAUGUGUCCCUCUGCGUGUCCAGCAGACUGCUUGGCAUAGUUCAGACAAAGGAGAAACAGCUUCACUGGUGGUGGUCAUGGCAGACACGGAGAUGAGUGGCAGUACCGAGCAAACGGAGGCAGCCCGACCCACCCAACACGAGGGAGAGGAGGAGGAACUUGUUCCGAAAAAGGGCGUGAGUCACGACAUUGGUUGUCUGGAGAUUCUUCGGAUUUAGAAAAUGAAGGACAAUGAUCAAAAAACAAAACUGUGUAAAAAGUGUUGUGUGGCUUUCGUUGCUGGAGGACGAAAUGCCAGCAACCUCUUCCAACACCUAAAGAUGAAACAUGCCAAGCUCCAUUAUCAGAGCCAAA